CAACCGUCAAGCCUGGCUUGGUGUUGGACGUCGGGCGUCGAGCGCGUGUCCUAAAGACAGUGGCGGUGUCGAUUCAGUCCUCGGUGCAACGAGCUCCACGAGCACGCACCGGAGGGGCCAUCGGCGCCCGCCUAGACCCCCUAAUUUUCUCAGGUUGACCUCGGAUCAGGUAGGAAUACCCGCUGAACUUAAGCAUAUCAAUAAGCGGAGGAAAAGAAACCAACAGGGAUUGCCUCAGUAACGGCGAGUGAAGCGGCAACAGCUCAAAUUUGAAAUCUGGCCUCGCGGCCCGAGUUGUAAUUUGUAGAGGAUGUUUCGGGUACCGCCGCGGUUUAAAUUUCUCGGAACAGAAUGUCAUAGAGGGUGAGAAUCCCGUCUUGGACCGCCGGUAGGGCCCGUGUGAAACUCCUUCGACGAGUCGAGUUGUUUGGGAAUGCAGCUCAAAAUGGGUGGUAAAUUUCAUCUAAAGCUAAAUACUGGCCAGAGACCGAUAGCGCGCAAGUAGAGUGAUCGAAAGAUGAAAAGCAC
Molecule: ribosomal RNA, 528 nt
Filed under: uncultured Chaetothyriales
Lineage: Eukaryota; Fungi; Ascomycota; Eurotiomycetes; Chaetothyriales
Description: eukaryotic LSU rRNA
Rfam family: Eukaryotic large subunit ribosomal RNA (bases 156-528)
Source: RNAcentral